ACGGGUGAGUCCUGACCGGCCCUCAGCAGGACCCGGACCGAGAAGCAGUUUCCGCGGGCUCCUAGCCCCGGGCCAGGGAAGUUCUGGGAGCCGGAACUCGGCCGCUCCGUGCUCGGUGUAAGCUCCUAUAAGUGUAGGCUCCAAGAAGCAGUCCCCGCGGGCUCAGUUCCGGGAGCCGGAAUUCGGCCGCUUAGUGCUUGGUGUAUGCUCUGAUAGGAGCAGGGUCCAAGAAGCAGCCUCCGCAGGCUCCGCAGCCCUGGGCCAGGGCGGUUCCGGGACGGUUCCGGGAGCCGGAACUCGGCCGCCCCGCGCUCGGUGUUCGCUCCGAUAAGAUCAGGUUCUAAGAAGCACCCAGGCACUGAACCCUAGCAAUCUGUCUGCAAGCCGCAGGCGAAUUGCAGCCUGAAAUUACCUGUUCUAUGGCUGAAUGAGCUGCGGUCAGUCAAAAACAGGUGUGGUGACGUCAGUUUACCAACAUGGUGGCUGCUGGCCUCCUCUGUGGUCUGACCGGUGUGGAGAACCGAGAUGGACCGCUUCCUUCCCCGUCUCGAACCCAGAAUUCAGCCCUGAGUACGGUGCUUGCGCGGCUGGCAGAAACUGCAGCGCUGUAACCCUGCGUCUCUAUCCCAGCACGCGCUGCAGACUCUAGCCGCGGGGCGAUUUGCUGAAUAAGCAGUGUUACCCUCCGUGCGACAAACCUCUCGCGUUUGAGUCCCCGUAGCCGAUCCUUGUGCGAUGGAAAUCCUUCCUCCAGGUUCCGGAGCACCCCACUAUUGCUGGAAAUUCCUAACAAGAUAUCCUUUAGCCGUCCUGACUUGUCAUACUCCCACACAGUGAAGCAGCACACGGGGG
This 852-nucleotide long non-coding RNA is filed under the name Marmota monax (woodchuck). Lineage: Eukaryota; Metazoa; Chordata; Mammalia; Rodentia; Sciuridae. The record is from RNAcentral.